UUGGGUGACCAGCGGAGGGAUCAUUACCGAGUUUACAACUCCCAAACCCAAUGUGAACGUUACCAAACUGUUGCCUCGGCGGGAUCUCUGCCCCGGGUGCGUCGCAGCCCCGGACCAAGGCGCCCGCCGGAGGACCAACCAAAACUCUUAUUGUAUACCCCCUCGCGGGUUUUUUUUAUAAUCUGAGCCUUCUCGGCGCCUCUCGUAGGCGUUUCGAAAAUGAAUCAAAACUUUCAACAACGGAUCUCUUGGUUCUGGCAUCGAUGAAGAACGCAGCGAAAUGCGAUAAGUAAUGUGAAUUGCAGAAUUCAGUGAAUCAUCGAAUCUUUGAACGCACAUUGCGCCCGCCAGUAUUCUGGCGGGCAUGCCUGUCCGAGCGUCAUUUCAACCCUCGAACCCCUCCGGGGGGUCGGCGUUGGGGAUCGGCCCUGCCUUGGCGGUGGCCGUCUCCGAAAUACAGUGGCGGUCUCGCCGCAGCCUCUCCUGCGCAGUAGUUUGCACACUCGCAUCGGGAGCGCGGCGCGUCCACAGCCGUUAAACACCCAACUUCUGAAAUGUUGACCUCGGAUCAGGUAGGAAUACCCGCUGAACUUAAGCAUAUCAA
Molecule: ribosomal RNA, 604 nt
Filed under: Trichoderma harzianum
Lineage: Eukaryota; Fungi; Ascomycota; Sordariomycetes; Hypocreales; Hypocreaceae
Description: eukaryotic LSU rRNA
Rfam family: 5.8S ribosomal RNA (bases 229-382)
Source: RNAcentral